Molecule: ribosomal RNA, 425 nt
Filed under: uncultured bacterium
Lineage: Bacteria
Description: partial 16S ribosomal RNA
Rfam family: Bacterial small subunit ribosomal RNA
Source: RNAcentral
GUGGGGAAUCUUGCGCAAUGGGCGAAAGCCUGACGCAGCCAUGCCGCGUGAAUGAUGAAGGUCUUAGGAUUGUAAAAUUCUUUCACCGGGGACGAUAAUGACGGCACCCGGAGAAGAAGCCCCGGCUAACUUCGUGCCAGCAGCCGCGGUAAUACGAAGGGGGCUAGCGUUGCUCGGAAUUACUGGGCGUAAAGGGCGCGUAGGCGGACAGUUUAGUCAGAGGUGAAAGCCCAGGGCUCAACCUUGGAAUUGCCUUUGAUACUGGCUGUCUUGAGUACGGGAGAGGUGAGUGGAACUCCGAGUGUAGAGGUGAAAUUCGUAGAUAUUCGGAAGAACACCAGUGGCGAAGGCGACUCACUGGCCCGUUACUGACGCUGAGGCACGAAAGCGUGGGGAGCAAACAGGAUUAGAAACCCCUGUAGUCC